ACUUGUCAAUAGAUGCAGCUGCAUUAAAUUUGGUACUAAAUUCUAAGUGACGUGCCUUUUUAAAUUAUGCAAACGAAUUGCUUUUUGCCUAAUAAAAAACGGAUCAUCAAAGUUGAAUGCUGGAAAAGCUUUUUAAAUGAUUAAUUAACAUUCUAAUUGCAAUUUUUUUUCUCUGGUAUACUUAGUUUGAAAAUGCUCAUCGAUCUGCUCUAACGUUUGCCUAUAUAAGAAGAGCAUUUUCUGAAAUUGUGGAAUUGAUUUCAAUCUCUAGUCAACUUCGACGACAAGAAUAUGAAUUUAUUUCGCUUCUGUUUAGUAUUUGGGGCAGUAUUUCUAGCAUCCCUGCCCAUGGUAACUCCUAAAGGAGGCUGCCGCGGUGGUUGCAGAUUGAAGCCUGUUAGAGGAAGCCGUUUUGGUUAAGGCAACAGAUAUCGUCAAUAACUUUCGCUUUUAAAGUAUGAGAAAAAUUAAAUAAUUUUUUUUAUUCUAUUUUUAUUUUAUAUGAAGAAGAAACUAAAUAACGAAAUAAAAAUCAAUAUGAUAACUAAA
Long non-coding RNA from Stomoxys calcitrans (stable fly), 549 nucleotides. RefSeq lists it as uncharacterized. The transcript is spliced from 2 exons. The record is from RefSeq and is a predicted model, not a curated record. NCBI's taxonomy places the organism in Eukaryota, Metazoa, Arthropoda, Insecta, Diptera, Muscidae.